Long non-coding RNA from Bombyx mori (domestic silkworm), 764 nucleotides. RefSeq lists it as uncharacterized. NCBI's taxonomy places the organism in Eukaryota, Metazoa, Arthropoda, Insecta, Lepidoptera, Bombycidae. The record is from RefSeq and is a predicted model, not a curated record. The transcript has 2 exons.
AGUGGACCAAAAGAGACGUGCUGGGCGAAGAAAAAAGUCAUGGCUCCGGAAUAUCCAGGAGUGACCCGGUAUUGCCUCCUUCGAACAGCUGUUCCGGCUGGCUGCUGACAGAAAUGAAAACAGGAAGCUAACGACCAACCUUCAGGAUUGAAGAGGCACUGGAAGAAGAAGAAGAAGACGGACAUCUGGAGUCCACACGGUUGGGCAAACAUUCUCAACCCCUCAUGGUGUGGAGCCAUUACUGGUGGACAUAGGCAUCACAACGUGAAUGCUUCCUCGGACUAGAGAUUGAAGUCCCAAUUGCAUGGUGUGGUAGCUGUCCCAACUUUCAAAAAGAAAUGACUGUGUUUAAUUUUUACUAAAAGCGAAGGAUUACUAGUAUUAGUAGAAUUAGUAACAUUAUUCAAUAAUUCUUUUAUGAAAAAUUGUUUUGAAUAGAAGUGGAUAAAAUCAUAACGUUGUAAUAUCUAUGGGUCUCAGCAGCCAUAUAGAACAUAAUGGUCCAUGAGGUCGUCCACAAUUUUAGUCUUAUACAAUCUCUUAAAAUGAAAGUGUGUUAACGUCUGUUUUUUUUGUUUUGUUGUGAUUAAAUUACUAUUCGAAUUACUUCUUCAACUGAUUCCUUAGAAACUUCCCACUCCUUUUGCAUCUGCGCCUCUUCGAGCUUCAUUGCAAAUUAUAUAUGUAUAUAUUCUAGAGGUUCACAAGAAAAAAAGAAAUCGUUUGUCUAAAUUAACUUUAAAAAUUAACAAUUAAUUUGUGUU